GAUGAACGCUGGCGGCGUGCCUAAUACAUGCAAGUCGAGCGAACAGACGAGGAGCUUGCUCCUCUGACGUUAGCGGCGGACGGGUGAGUAACACGUGGAUAACCUACCUAUAAGACUGGGAUAACUUCGGGAAACCGGAGCUAAUACCGGAUAAUAUAUUGAACCGCAUGGUUCAAUAGUGAAAGACGGUUUUGCUGUCACUUAUAGAUGGAUCCGCGCCGCAUUAGCUAGUUGGUAAGGUAACGGCUUACCAAGGCAACGAUGCGUAGCCGACCUGAGAGGGGGAUCGGCCAACCUGGAACUGAGACACGGUCCAGACCCCUACGGGAGGCAGCAGGAGGGAAUCUUCCGGAAUGGGCGAAAGCCUGACGGAGCAAAGCCGCGGGAGGUAAGAAGGUCUUCGGAUCGGAAAACCCUGUUAUUAGGGAAGAACAAAUGUGUAAGUAACUAUGCACGUCUUGACGGUACCUAAUCAGAAAGCCACGGCUAACUACGUG
This 497-nucleotide ribosomal RNA is filed under the name uncultured bacterium. RNAcentral describes it as "partial 16S ribosomal RNA". It matches the Rfam family "Bacterial small subunit ribosomal RNA", at positions 28 to 507 of the family's 1533-position model. The record is from RNAcentral.